RNAcentral lists this ribosomal RNA (580 nucleotides) under uncultured Gammaproteobacteria bacterium. Its description in RNAcentral is "bacterial SSU rRNA". It matches the Rfam family "Bacterial small subunit ribosomal RNA", at positions 790 to 1368 of the family's 1533-position model. Lineage: Bacteria; Pseudomonadati; Pseudomonadota; Gammaproteobacteria. The record is from RNAcentral.
GUAGUCCACGCCGUAAACGAUGUCGACUAGCCGUUGGGAACCUUAGAGUUUCUUGUGGCGCAGCUAACGCGAUAAGUCGACCGCCUGGGGAGUACGGCCGCAAGGUUAAAACUCAAAUGAAUUGACGGGGGCCCGCACAAGCGGUGGAGCAUGUGGUUUAAUUCGAUGCAACGCGAAGAACCUUACCACCCCUUGACAUCCUGCGAACUUUCUAGAGAUAGAUUGGUGCCUUCGGGAGCGCAGAGACAGGUGCUGCAUGGCUGUCGUCAGCUCGUGUUGUGAAAUGUUGGGUUAAGUCCCGUAACGAGCGCAACCCUUGUCCUUAGUUGCCAGCGAGUAAUGUCGGGAACUCUAAGGAGACUGCCGGUGACAAACCGGAGGAAGGUGGGGACGACGUCAAGUCAUCAUGGCCCUUACGGGGUGGGCUACACACGUGCUACAAUGGCCGGUACAGACGGUUGCAAACCCGCGAGGGGGAGCCAAUCCGAGAAAACCGGUCGUAGUCCGGAUUGCAGUCUGCAACUCGACUGCAUGAAGUCGGAAUCGCUAGUAAUCGCGGAUCAGCAUGCCGCGGUGAAUA